Non-coding RNA from Dermacentor albipictus, 8889 nucleotides. Lineage: Eukaryota; Metazoa; Arthropoda; Arachnida; Ixodida; Ixodidae. The record is from RefSeq and is a predicted model, not a curated record.
ACGUCACGUCCGGGACGCCACAUCCGGUCUUUGUUUUUUUUUCACGUCCGUGAUGUCACAUUCGGCUUUUUUGGCGGCAUAAUAUGGCAUAUGGCAGGCUCGGAGUGCACGAAGCGGUGGAUCGCUUAUUUUUCGGGCUUUUGCUUCUCGGACCGCCACACCGGCCAGCCAGUGCUACAGUGUCCUAAUGCAGAGAACGUAUAUUACACGGAACUGCGCUCCUUCAGAGUUAUUUAGAGUCUUUGUCAGAAGCACGUAACAGUAUCAUUACUUGGUUACGGUAAUGCUACAUGGCAGAAUAUUUGAAUGGCAGAUGUCCCGAGUGCGGCAUCUCCAGCUUCUUGAGACGGGCACGUGAUAGUGCCACGAGUGGGAGGACGUACCGCAGGCGUGAUGUGGCUACUGCAUGGUACAGCCACAGAGCCCACCUAGUGGUGCAGCUCUGUCCUCGGGCAACAAGCUGGGAGACUGCCUUGUGGACCCGGAGGACCUGGACAUGCAGGGUCUUGACAGCAGGCAGCCAGGUCAGCCGGUGAUGAACGUGUAGCCCCGGGUACGUCACUGCCAGGCUUCAAGGUCGCCUUCCAGUUGCAGCUGUGCAGUGGGCGAUUGCUCUUGGGUGGAGCAGCAUGGCCUCGGUCUUCCUUGCCGAGAUGGCAAGGCCAAUGCAGCUCAGUCUGCAGGACAGCAGGCAGUCGGGCCAGGUUGAACAGGAAAGGGCUCACCACUGAUCCUUGUGGGACGCCCUCUACCAAAUAGGUCCAGGGCCUGCUGAACGACUGGAUAGGGCAGGCCGUCAAAGGCCCCCUUCAUGCCGAUAAGCACCAGGAGCACGGCGUCACCGCAGGCCUUGUCCUCUUCCAGCGUGGAGACCACGUCCACGAUGGAGUCCGCACUGCAUCAGCUCCGCCGGAACCCUCUCUGCUCAUCGGCCAGAAAGCAAUGGCCUCCAUCAGCUUGCAAGCAGCAGAGGAAGCCAUCAUCUGGUGCUGUGUACAGCAAGCACAUGCUUCGGACAAGGAGGGAGCCAGCACCAUAUCUACAUCAGCAAGAACCUCGGUGCUCAAAAUAAACAUUUUCUGUGCAAAUACCUGUCUUUUUAUACUUCCAGCAUGAAUUAAUAAGUUUCUUUUGCCUUCACAUGCAGGAAGGUUUAUAGGAAUAAAUAGUGACUGUUGAAUGCCCAGGAAAAGCCUUGAAGCCAUUCUACUUGUACAGUGAUAAAGUACAUGUGUACUUGAACUUGAUAGUACAGAAACGAAAGGCAAAGUAACAGGCAAAAUGCUCGGGGCAGCAGUCGUAUAAAUGGUAGAUGAACACAGCUAAUUGUGCUGUCCAGUUUCAUUCAGUUUGACCAAAUGUUGCAAGAAUUGCCUUCAAUAUGAAUCAUUCAGUUUAGCCAGCUAAAGUCGAACUCGUACAAACUUUGGAAUGUCUGCUGGGAAUUUUAGCAUAAAUGGUAUGUGUGCAUCCUUCAGCAGCACCACAAGCCCAGUAAGGUUUUUGCGUUACUGUCCCCCCUCCCUUGGGGUUAUUGCAGUGUCUACUUCAAGUGCUUGAGGGUAUAAUGGAAAAUGACUCCAUUCUCCAAUGAGAAGGCUAUAUAAAUAUGCAGGACAAGAGCUUGUAGGCCUGGUUAUAAGCAUGAAUUAGAUAUGUAUAGACCAAAGGCAAUAUGAAUACAAUAUGUUAAAUUGCAUCCAUAUGUGGGAACUGCCCACAUCAAAGGAAAGAAAGUGCAAUACUUGCAACCUACCAACAUAAACAUCAGUCUAGGGAAGGAUUCUGUAAGGAUCCACUAAGUGGACUGUUUCAGCACACACUGAUUAGGUAGAGCUAUAAGCUGGUAGAGCAAGUGGCAAUCAUCACCAUGGGCUCUCGUGCUCUAUUCAUUCAGCGUGUACUGGAAUGGACAGUCCACUUAGUCAACACUUACAGACUAGCCCCCUAGGGCUGUGGAAGCACGCAGUAUAUUAAGCUUAAGUCUGGAGUGCUACCUUCUGCUUAUGUGGCAAGUCCUCCUGUUUACCUGUUCCUUUCAACUGAGAGCUGAGCACUGCCUAGGUUAAGUCAGAAAAAGCAACCAGCGUCCAUAGAAUUCAAACUAUUACUAUUUGCCCUAUAUAAGGGGACAGUGAAGCCUAAAAUGACACUUGACUUGGGCCAUAUUUUUCACGAUAUGCCCGAGAAUAUUGGGAUUUCCCAUCAAUUUUACCCUUCCUACAUCACAUAGUGAACAACCUGAAAACUUAACACUGUUGCGCAGAGCGAUGAAGGGUCAGGAUUUGAGCGAGAAAACAACACAUGACACCUGAGCGCAAACUAUGAACUGGUUUAUUUUUCUGCAAGUGAAGCGUACAUAAAGCCUACACGCAUGCACAGGAGUCCUCUUCCCGGUCUACCUACACCCUCUAUUGUCAGUGAUUAUGCUAAUCUCUUUAUUGCUGAGUGAAAUAGACGGCGGGCUGACACAUGAGCCCUGUGGGUCCACCUUGAGGUUGUAUGCUUCCACGACUUGUCUUUUCCUUUGGUUCCUACUUUUCAGCAGAAUCAUUGCCUUGUGAUAAUCACCAGUUGAUAGUUUGUGCUCAGGUGUCUAUUGUUUUCUCGCUCAAGUCCUGUCCCUUCGUCACUCCGCACAACAGUGUUAAGUAUGUUGAACCAACUAGCACACUGCACAAUUUUCCUGAUCUUGAAAACAAUUGUAAACUAAAGUCCGUGAGAAACAAAGUGUUCUGUCAUGACAUACAGAUUUAUGCAUGAUCACUUUGCUAUAUAAAAAUACAAUUUUAGCCAAUGUUAACGAAGAGCUUCACUUCUGGAGUUCACUUAAAUAAUGUCUGUGAUGCAUUGUGACAGUACGAGGUCCUGGAGAUCCUACUGUGGAGAUAUGUCAACAUUGAGCCUAUUCCUGUUUAAUGUAUGGAUAGAUGCCUUCACGAAGAGUUGGAGAAACUGCACAAUACAAUGUUUUAUAUCACAUGUAAUAAUUAUGCUGUGAUAAAGUGUACACGCUGAGCUUAAUGUUUUAGAAAAGCUCAAGAAAAGGCUCCAGAAUAGGUAUGAUGGAUAGGCAACCUUUUAUUUGGCUCUCUUCAUAGUGAAAUCUAGACGCAUCACCUCAGCCACACUUAGUAAAAUCUGUGGGCUCGUACUGCCCAUGCCUUUACUGCACAAGUUGCCUUGGUGCUCCCAGUCUUGACAGGUAACACUUAAGCACACUCUCAUGCACGUGUUUGUUCCAAAGCUACAGCUGCUAACUAAAGUAACUCCCACAUGCGAUUCUGUAACUCUAGACCUAACUGCAAAAACGCAUGCAGUACUACGAGUUUGGCAUGGAGUCCACAUGACAUGUGCACAACUUCAAAUUUCGUAUAGGCAACAGAUAACUGGUAACCUGUUAGAGUAACAAAAUGGAUGCCAAGGAAAAUUCACCCAAAGCCUUAGGCAGGAAAAUGAGGUGUUGUGAUGAGAUAAAUAGCAAUCACAUUUGAUCGACUGACUAAAAGCUGGCAGGGGUAUUGCAUUUGACAUGAUUGAAAUGAGCUGCAGCAUGGCAUGGUAACUGUGGCAGCCUUUACAAUGCCGCGCUCUCUGAAUUACACUUAUGUGCAUCCAUAUGCUGCAGCGACCAACUGUUUUUAUUCAAGAAAGCCAGGUUUGUGGUUCAGCACACAUCAUACGCUGGCAAACUCACUGAUGAGUCAACUCCCUGAGAUCAUCCCAUGAGUCUGAGUGAGCCCAGCUGAGCAGUAUUUUGGCGAGUUUGAGCCCGAGUGAGCUCGGCUGAGUAGUAUAUUCUUAUGAGUUCAAGUGAGCAGCUAAUUAUAAUUUUGGCGAGUCUAAAUAGUGAGUUCCGAUUAUUUUGCCAACAUAUAUAUGGUCCGUGUACUUUCGAAAUUCAGCUACGACACUUGCGCAUAGGUUGGAAAUUAAGCUUCUCGCCAAGUGACUACUGCAUAAAUGAUCAUAGAGCUAGCGAAGAACGAUACGCCUUAAUGAUGCAGCGUGCCGCGCGGGAUCCAUGUGUGCAGCGUGCCAGUGGAUGGGUGCGUGUUUGGGAAAUUAGGGGGUUUCGACCCAUCCACAGAUAAUUUACAUAAUACCUUUCUCCAUAGUGUAUUAUUGCGAUAGCAAUUUUUGGACACCCUAAGCGAAUUUUCGCCAUCGCCCUGAUGUUUGGUUUAAAGUCCAAGUGUGACAAAAAUUAUAGUGCUCCGUUGCAUCCCACAUGCUGGGGUUAAUUGCGAAUGAAAGGGUGCGAUUGUGAGCCGAGAAGGAUGGCAGCUUUAUGCGCGCUGUCCACGUCCCGUGAUCAAGUGCGCGCUAGGGUCAGAGAGCGCGCGACGUCUCUUGCCCGGCCGUGCCCGUGCAUAUGGCUGUCCGCGCGCAGCAGAGUGCAUAUACACGGCCCGCGCGUGCCACAUUUUUUAAAAGUAAUUUGCGGCCGGUGUAAAGGCGGCAAGCCGACGUGGCUGCUGGUUUCACGAGUGUCAAUUGGAAGUAGCGAUAUCUAAGUUUCGGGCGAAACUUAGAGAACAGUGACUUCCUUAGAGGGGCCAAAAUUUUGGGGCGCAUGAGCGGCACGUAUAGUAGAAUGCAGUGUUCCAUUGUAAAAAAAAAAAUUGAUGUAACAAAAUAGAGUGCUGAGUGUUACGUCUUUGUUACAUCAAGGUUCAACAAAAAUUAAGCGCUGGAAAUCAGCGCUGGACGCACAUGCAACUCCUUACUCCACACUGAAAACAUUUGAGAAAACAUUUUUUUUAAAUACUUUGUACAUUUGUAUAAAUCCCUACCUGCGGAUAUUCCUCUGGUUUAGCCUAAUUAUGUGCUGCCUACUUAACUUACUGACGCAGCAUACGUAUCAUUGCGAAAUUUAUAAUUUUUUGCUUUUAGAAAAAGCAUCGAGUUAUUGAAUUUUGCGAACAGAAAAAAAAUUGCAACUUCCAAUAUAGCGCGCUUCCUAGGCUAUUAAAUAGCUACAAUGUUCAAGGAACGUACUGUUUCCAUGAGUGGUUUACUCAUGCAGUAAGAUGUACUGCUCCUACACCUUGUAAUAAAAAGCAUAUGCAUCGACACAUAGCAGCUGAUAUUCUUGCUUAUUUUCUCAUCACAGAGGUAGAUGGGGCACAUGAACCAAUAUGCUCACACAAAUCAACGUGACCAACUACUGCGGAGACAUGGCAACGAAUUCUUUGUUUACCUUGUACACCACAAGUGCGAGGUUUGCGCAUUAAUUUGACUUCAUGAAACCCUAUUUAUACUACAGGCUUUACGGCAAUGCUUGCAUGCAGUGCGGUGAAGCGCUCGACGAAACUGCACAUAUUAUAUGAUUUGUUUGAUAUUAACUCGAGAUGCAAACGUUUGUGCAGGCAGGCAAGCAAUGUUUCCAUUCACGCAGCGCACCAAAAUAGCGAGGUAUAUGCAUUGAUCUGGUUUCAUGACAUCGUACUUUUGCCACUAGCUUUACGGCAGUGCUUGUGUAUAGUGCUGCGAAGCACGACGGAACUGCACGUUAUUAUACGGUGUGCUUGAAAUCCACUCGAGAUGCAAACGUUUGUGCAGGCAGGAAACGAAUGAUUUAAUUCACGUAGCACAACACGAGAGCGCGCUCUAUGCAGUCCUUUGAUUGAAUAAAACUCUAUUUCUGCCACAGGCUUCACAGCAAUGCUUGUGUAGAGGGCUGUGAAGCUCGACGCAGCUGUAACAACAUCCCACAGUACACCCGAUUUUUACCGAGUUUGUUUUAAAGGGCCCCUCACAGGCUACAUAACAAAUUUUGGUUAUACACUGAAAGUUGUUACGUGCCCUCUAAGAAGUGUUCUACCGCAAGCAUUUUUCAAAUUGGUUCAUUAACAGCAGAUAGAGAAUGAUUGAAGUGCCGCGAACGCAUGAUUUCAGGAGGCGAGCGUCGCCGCCUAUAUAAACACUCUCUCGACAUUCCCCGUUUCGCCUGUGUAAGCAAAUUUCCUUCACUGCGUUCUCCCAUACCGGAGCCGAGGGGUCGCGGCGGGUAUACCCUGCCGUCUUCUUUUUUUCACCGUCACCGGCACACUUCCGGUGACGGUGUCGCGCGAGCUGUUGCGCUUGUCUCGUUUCCUGUAGCGGACGAUAAUGCGCGCUCUACACGAGAACACGUGAUUAGCGGUAUAAGUCAGUGCCCCAGCACUGAGGCAAACGCGAGAGGAUAAAAGAGCAUUCAUGAUCGCAAUGCUGGAACACAGUAGACAAUGACGUAUAGUUUCGUUCUCUGCGCGCGUGCAAACGUCGGGAAAAGGAGACGAAACGGAAAUUCAUCUCUCUUGCUACAGUGCGAAGUAAAACAAAAGCACCCAGACAUUCGGGUUGUAUUUUUCAUUAUUUCUCUAAACUUUAAUUAGUUCACUGCAGCAACAGAUUCAACAAAUAACUGAUGCUGCCUUGAAUCUAAGUCACGUGUCACUCUGAGUGCCAUCACAGCACAGCCUGUGCUCCUAUGCAGCAGCAAAGUUACGGGCAUUCAUCUGCUUGCUGCUGCGAUAACAUUAUGACACUUUAACUCAGAGGUACGAUUUUUGUUGUGUGAGAUUAUAGAUAGCCAGUAGACUACUUGUCUGAUGUUAAAUGCUAUGACCCACUGGCAAUCCACGAUGCACUCAACGAAAACGUUUUUAUGCUGUGUGUGGCGUGACUCACCAGUGACCCACACGCAAGAAUUCUCGCUCUUGUGUUGCCAUCUGAGGUUUGAAAUUGCAACUAAUAUAUAUUUUUAUUGCAUUGGACAUGGGGUGGCAUGUUUGUUUCGGAGAGUGGAGUGGCGGCGCAUUUCUCAGUUGGGUUUCUUGCAAACUUUCGCAGCAGUCUUUGAAAUACGUGCCAUUGGAAUAAGUACCUGCAUUUUUCUUGCUACUCCCAAACUUUUCAGCGUGUCUAAUAGAUAGAUCCUCAUGCCCCUUACGGAUGAAAAAAAAAAGCACAAUGCAGAGGAAACAAAUAAACUUAGUUUUGGGCCAGAAGAAUGCACCAGCAACUUCGCGAUCACCAGCGGAUGAGUCAAGUGCUUCAGUGUCAGAUGUUCAGCAGUGGACAGUGAAAUCAGUGACAAAGAUAGUGUUUACGAACCAUCACAGACCUCAGCCAGCAUGUCGAAUGGAGAGUCAGACCUGACUGAUGAUUCUGAGGUGAAUGAUUCAGGAUACAAUGCUCUCAUUUCUCUCAGCCCAUCUCUAGAGAAAUGGACACCGGCAACAACCACUUCGCCUAGUGUGACACCACACGUACUCUAGGCCGCCCACUAUCAUUCAGUUGCCAUCUAGCCGUUAUGCCCCAUCUUUAUGUUCACUGUUUAUUACGGAUGACAUUUGGCAAAUGAUGGUCAAUGAAACAAACAGGUUCACACAAGUGUUGAAGUCAACUACUCCUAAAUCUAAAUCACGCUUGAAAAAUUGGACGGAAACCAAUGCCAAAGAAAUUAAAGCAUUUAUUCGAAUACUGAUUUGUAUUGGUCUCCUCCGUCUUCCUACUCCCAAAUCUAAAUCAAAGUUGAAAAAUUGGAUGGAAACCAAUCUCCAACAAACGAAAGCAUUUGUUGGAAUACCAAUUUGUAUUAAUCUCGUCCAUCUUCCUAUCCGAGUCACUACUGGGCAAAAAGUAACCUGUAUGGUGUUGAACUCAUUCAUCAAAAUAUGAGCCGUGACCGCCUUUUCCCUACUUUUGAGGUUCCGGCAUUUUGCGGACAAUUAACUGGUUGCAGAGUUGCAGGAUCAUGUCUUUAAGAUCCAUCCUCUGGUAGAGAAAUUGAACCAAAAUUUUUGCCACUGUGCUUGAGCCAGGAAAGGAGGUUGUGAUAGAUGAAACAAUAGUGCCAUGGCGUGGCAGACUUUCGUUCUUACAGAGUCAGGCUGUUCAAGGCAUGUACCAAAGACGGUUACAGGCUAAAGGUUGAUGUAUAUGCCGGAAAGUGUGACUGAACAAUUGGCAUCGGACAUGCCGAAGAUGUAUGCUUGAAACUCCUGCAAAAUUACAAGGAAGUUGUGUGCCCGCUGUCCGUAGACAACUUCUACAUGAGCUUGCCGCUCACUUUUCGCCUUCUAAAGGAAGACACUUUCAUUCGUGGCACAGUUCGCUCAGUGAGGAAAGGGCUGCCAAAAGAUCUCACUGAAGUAAAGGUUGCAAAUGGCAGUGUUACCGAACUUCAGUCCAAAAAUGGAGUGAAGGCACUGAAGUGGAUGGACAAGAGGCCUGUUCUGAUACUCACAUCUGUCGCCAAAUAUGAAGCAACUUUGGUGGACAGUGGGAAGAAAACAAGGGACGGUGCACCAAUCAUGAAACAUCAGGCCGGUCUCGAUUACAAUGCAGCAAAAAAGGGCGUCGACUAUAGUGACCAAAUGACGUUAUACCACAACUGCCUUAGAAAAGGACUCAAGUGGUACAGAAAGGUAGCUGUUGAGUUGCUUGUUGGAUGUGUCAUCAUAAAUGCGUGGAACAUUCGUGGCAUGCUUGAAGGAAACUCUAUGCCAAUUAUAAAAUUUCAAGAUGAACUGGCUCAUUCACUGUUCGGCCCUCGUCAAGACAACAUCGAAGAAACUCGUGGGAGAAGUGUCCACAUGCUAAGAAAAACUGGCACAUCGGCACACGACACUCAGUGGCUCUGCACUGGCUGCUAUGCGGCCAACAGUACCAGCAGUAGCCCAAACACUAUGGUGAGAGUGAGAAAAGUGACCACUUUCUGUGAAUAACGCCCCGGCAAGCCAUUCAUCUGUUUGUUGUGCUUUAAUUCUAAGCACAAGUAACCUGAGAAGCAAGCUAGCUUCAACUGUAAAAUGAGUAGGAUGAAAACUUCAAGACAUGGCUAAUGUUCAUACUAAAUUUUAGCCUUUCUCUAACUAAUAAAUAUUUCUAACACAGGAA